UGAGGGGGAGUUUAUACUCAUAUGCAAAAUUUUUUCUUUCUUCCAUCCAUUGUUUUGUCAUCAUCAAAAAGGGGGAGAAUGUUGACCUUGGUCCAUAGCUUUUGAUGUUUACAAAACAAUGGAUAAUUCUAAUAUCUCUUCAAGAAAUAUUUUCAGUUAUGAAACAAAUCAGAUUCAAAAAUCAAGUGCUAUUGAAAGGGACAAAGACUGUUGAAAGCUGUCGGAGGUUUGGAUCGGACGUCUGAAGGAAAUAAGACAUUCCUCUUGGAUCACUGACCUCGAUCGGACGCAAGCAUCGGACAUCCGAUAGGAUCCUUCAAAAUCGACGAAACCAUCAGACGCUGAAUAUGUUUUCACCGGACGUCCGAUAGAAACAAGAUGAUUUCUCAAAUCUCUUUGUUUGCUGUCGGAUGCACAAAGAGCUUGCACCGGACGUCUGAUAGAAUUGAAAAAAAUUUCUCAAACUCACUGCCUGCUGUCGGACGCAGAAAACAGGAGUACCGAACGUCCGACAUUCCAACGGCUAGUUGACUCUUCAGCUACUUUCUAUCCGUUGGAAGCAUUAAUGAGGCUCUUUCUUGAUCCUGUAUAAAUAAUGGUUGGUCAGAUAGUUAAAACAACUUUUGCACACUGAAGAUACAAAAGAUCUAGAGUGAUUUUAGUGAGAAAAUACUCUCCAAAGAAGAUUUGUAGUCUUAGCGGUGUGAGGUUCAUUGUAAGUUUUUCAUUUGUGAGUGAAUACUUCAUGAGUGUAGUUCUGCGAGAGUUGUUCUAAGGGAUAGUAAAACAUCCUAACUUGACCGAGUGAAGUUCGGGGCAAGGAGGAGGUGAACUUUCCUUUGUACGCAAGAGCGAUUGUAAUUCAUCAAUUUGAAGAAACUUAUUUGAAUUAAUCUACAAGCUCAAGAGGAGUUGGGUAGUUAAUUGGUUUGCAAUUCUUUCCUUUUUAUUUACUUAUUGUUACGUUUAUGAUCUUUACAUUGUUUAUUUCUUCCACUUGGUUGUCUUCAAUUCUUACAUACCUCCUCAAGUAAAUGAUAGACUGAGCAGUCAUUUUGAAAUUUUACAAAUUUUGGGUUCACCUAGUAAAAAAAACACAGCCAAAAGGGAGUUAACGAAACCAGCACAUAUAAGGAGUAAAAACACAGCCAUGGCAGAUAUAAAAACUCAAUUAUUGAAUAGUUAUACUUGCUCCAUCUCGGCCCACUUGUUAUCGUCCAUAAGCCAGAUAAACUUCUGGCUAUCCCAACCCAUUCCUGUUCCUCACCUCUUGAAGGCAAUGUAUAGUUUGGUCAGCUCUCGUAAAACAUAGUAUUUGGCUCUUAUACUAUCAAAGGUGAAAGAGGUACUGUAUUGGCCGUUCAACCGCUGUUGGAUUUCAGGAACCACAUAGCUAUAAAUGUUAUUGUCCCUAAUUUCACUAGCUCUAUGCAUGUUCACAAGGUGGUGGGCAAAAUCAAUUUCAUGCUACUUAGAGAAAUGCAAACGCUCCCCACCUCAUUGCCUUUGUUUUCUCAUCUUAAUUAACCCAUAAACAAAUCCAGAAACAAACAAAGAAAUAAAGUGACAGGCAUGAUUAUUCAAGAUACAGAGAUGACAUAACAAUAACCAAACUGGAGGAGGAGCAAGAAUUACCUUGUAGUAGUUAGAAAUGCACUGCCUUAAAUCGUUUUCCUCCCAAGCUGAGUUGGAUGAACGAGUAUACAAGAUGCUUUUCUGCUUCAAUGUUGUGUUGACAUAGGAAUAAAAUUAUUGACCAACGAACAAGGCAGUGAACAAAGGGGAACCAAGCAAAUAUACCUUUGGCAGCACGGCGGGUAAUAGGGGGCAUGUAGCCUUAGAGAGCAGCAACUAUACAAGUCAGACUACCCUGUUUUUUAGCACCAAACAGUAGUAUGAAGUUAGACAGCAGACAUCAAGUGUUUUCGAGGCCAAAGAAAAAAAUUUAUAAGCUUUAAAUAGCAUCAGGCAGUUCAUUGCAACAAAAAAAAACACAGAAUUAGGCAAGAAUAAUAUGACAACAUGAGUUCAAUCCGCAAUUAAAUAAGGCAAGACAUAGAGAGGACAGUGCACAAUAUGGAAAAGCACCAGGCAAAAGCUGCUCUACACUAAUUUCUAUCCAGAUCAACAAUAUGACAGGUAAAAACUUAUUCCACCACAGACUGCAUUUUCUCAUAUCAGCUUUCACAUGAAAAGCUUCACAGUAAGCACACUUGAAAGUGGACGGUGUCCAGGAAGUUAGUGUGCUAAGGAGGGGAGGAUAUGCAGCAAGUUACUUCCUCUGACAUUCCCAACUACAUAAAAACUUUCACUUUAAUAUUCCCAAAAGCUCCACUCUAAGUCAAGGCAGCAACAUAGGCUACACUUGUUUAUUUUGGCUUAUAGAAUUUAAGCUUUCUUGAAGCAACCAGCAUGGUUUAGAUGUGCACAUAUAAUUUCACCAACAGCAUCCCCCAAGAGAAAAAUGGUAGACAAGCAUUUAGCUACUUCAAGUUAGACUACAAACCAUACUCCAAAAACCAAAAAUUAACAUACUAAAGUAAGAACUACUCAUCCAAAACCCAUUUUACACAUUUUUUCAAUAGGUUUUCAAAAUUGUCCAAACGCUCAUAACUAAAAUAAAACAAUGAAGCAAGCAGCAAUAAGGUUUCUGGUGGCAUUUGAAAUCACUGGAAUAACCAAAACCUCAAAUUCACAAUAGCUUUUGGGAAGCAACUUCACUGUCUUUUCAAGAGCCAAGGUUGUGAAUAUAUGCCUUCGAUGCACGGCAACAGAUUAAUGCUUUCUACUAAACUCUAUCCAAUAAUUAACAUAUCAAACUAUCUCACAAUUUGUUGUAAUAUUUUCCUAGAUCUUCUUACCAAACAAAACUUAAGUAUAAAAAAUUAUUUCAGCACUCAAAAUAAUUGGUUCUUUUUUACUUACAUAACAAAAAUAAUGUGUCCCUCUUAUUUUUGCAGUAUAAGCAAACACUUAAAUGGUUACAAUUAUUUUUUUCCCUUUUAUCCAACCAAAUAAAUCCAGGAAAAUAUGUUCGCAUUCAUUAAAUCCUCUGACAAAAAUAGUUCUGACAUGCAGCCAUAAAAAGGUUUUCAAAAUAUAAAGGAAGCAAUUUUCUACCAAAGCAUUCCAAAAUUCUCUGGAAACAGCAAAAAUCUCCACAAAUGAAGUCCAUUCUUGGAUGAAAUCGAACCUUGUCUAGAAAUCAGAUCGCAAGUGUAUCACAUAUAUUUGUGAUUUGGCCACAUCAAUUAGACAUUUUUAACCAAAAAGACUGCAAAACACAAAAAACCCACUCAUUAUUCUAGACUUGGAUCAACUAAGAAGCAUUUCAAAGCAGGGAAAAAAAACAUUCCUUUUUCGACCUGCAGAACGAAGAGGGAGUCGGAGUUCCUUGAUGCCAGACGAAGUCUCGCAACGAGUCUCUGCUUGGAUUGUCUGAAAACGUGAGAGGAGCGGCGGAAAAGCAAACUCAAUCGGUGUGGAUGCUUUAGAGGAGCAUUUCCAGAAGCAGAGAUUUAGUUCGACUUUGGUUUGCAGCAGCAUUCACACUGAAUUGCAUUUGAGAAAGUGGUUUAGGGUUGAG
This 3586-nucleotide long non-coding RNA is filed under the name Coffea arabica (coffee). Its description in RNAcentral is "long non-coding RNA (CARA_LNC002877)". Lineage: Eukaryota; Viridiplantae; Streptophyta; Magnoliopsida; Gentianales; Rubiaceae. The record is from RNAcentral.